RNAcentral lists this ribosomal RNA (468 nucleotides) under uncultured bacterium. RNAcentral describes it as "partial 16S ribosomal RNA". It matches the Rfam family "Bacterial small subunit ribosomal RNA", at positions 28 to 507 of the family's 1533-position model. The record is from RNAcentral.
GACGAACGCUGGCGGCGUGCUUAACACAUGCAAGUCGAACGGAAAGGCCCUGCUUUUGUGGGGUGCUCGAGUGGCGAACGGGUGAGUAACACGUGAGUAACCUGCCCUUGACUUUGGGAUAACUUCAGGAAACUGGGGCUCAUACCGGAUAGGAGCUCCUGCUGCAUGGUGGGGGUUGGAAAGUUUCGGCGGUUGGGGAUGGACUCGCGGCUUAUCAGCUUGUUGGUGGGGUAGUGGCUUACCAAGGCUUUGACGGGUAGCCGGCCUGAGAGCGUGACCGGCCACAUUGGGACUGCGAUACGGCGCAGACUCCUACGGGAGGCAGCAGUGGGGAAUAUGGCACAAUGGGCGGAAGCCUGAUGCAGCAACGCCGCGUGCGGGAUGACGGCCUUCGGGUUGUAAACCGCUUUCGCCUGUGACGAAGCGUGAGUGACGGUAAUGGGUAAAGAAGCACCGGCUAACUACGUG